RNAcentral lists this unclassified non-coding RNA (232 nucleotides) under uncultured fungus. RNAcentral's name for it is "sequence contains ITS1". The record is from RNAcentral. Lineage: Eukaryota; Fungi.
GUAUUGUAUUGCGUUAAACGCAGAUGCAUUCCAUGAGACUUUGUUACAGUGUGUGUGUGUAAAGAUGCAGAACCACAGCAGGAGGAUGGGUCCCCCAACCACAGAACUACAGAGGGUGCACAGGGUGUGAGUGGAUGUGUUAACAGAGCGUGCACAUGCCCCCGCUUGAGGACCAGCAACAACUCUUGUUGACAAUUCGGUAAUGAUCCUUCCGCAGGUUCACCUACGGAAA